RNAcentral lists this ribosomal RNA (321 nucleotides) under uncultured eukaryote. RNAcentral's name for it is "partial 18S ribosomal RNA". It matches the Rfam family "Eukaryotic small subunit ribosomal RNA", at positions 1470 to 1796 of the family's 1831-position model. The record is from RNAcentral.
CCCUUAGAUGUCCUGGGCCGCACGCGCGCUAAACUGACAUGUUCAACAAGCCUCCUAGUUCGACAGGAUUUGGGAAAUCUUUGAACGCAUGUCGUGAUAGGGAUAGAUCAUUGCAAUUAUUGAUCUUGAACGAGGAAUUCCUAGUAAACGCGAGUCAUCAGCUCGCAUUGAUUACGUCCCUGCCCUUUGUACACACCGCCCGUCGCACCUACCGAUUGAAUGUUUCGGUGAAGAUUCCGGAUAGGACUUUUUUGAUUUAUUUCAAUUUUGUCUUAAAAGCUAUCUAAACCUCAACAUUUAGAGGAAGGUGAAGUCGUAACA